GGGUCAGGAGGUUGGUCGUGCCACCGGUACGUACUGGUCUCACUGAUUCCUCCUUCCUGAAGAACCGUAAUGCCAUUAAUUUGGUGUUGCGGGGAAACAGGACUGUUACUUUGAAAAAAUUGGAGUGUUUAAAGCAAGCUAACGCUUGAAUACAUUAGCAUGGAAUAAUGAAAUAGGACGAUCGAUCCUAUUUUGUUGGUUUCUAGGAUUGACGUA
This 216-nucleotide ribosomal RNA is filed under the name Glomeromycotina sp. RNAcentral describes it as "partial small subunit ribosomal RNA". The stretch from base 40 to 216 matches the Rfam family "Eukaryotic small subunit ribosomal RNA", at positions 686 to 864 of the family's 1831-position model. The record is from RNAcentral. Lineage: Eukaryota; Fungi; Glomeromycota.